This 253-nucleotide ribosomal RNA is filed under the name uncultured bacterium. RNAcentral describes it as "partial 16S ribosomal RNA". It matches the Rfam family "Bacterial small subunit ribosomal RNA", at positions 524 to 776 of the family's 1533-position model. The record is from RNAcentral.
UACAGAGGUCUCGAGCGUUGUUCGGAUUCAUUGGGCGUAAAGGGUGCGUAGGUGGCGCUGUAAGUCGGGUGUGAAAUCCUGAGGCUUAACCUCGGAACUGCAUUCGAUACUGCGGCGCUUGAGGACUGGAGAGGAGACUGGAAUUCAUGGUGUAGCAGUGAAAUGCGUAGAGAUCAUGAGGAAGACCAGUGGCGAAGGCGGGUCUCUGGACAGUUCCCGACACUGAGGCACGAAGGCCAGGGGAGCAAACGGG